GGUCAAAAUUAGUAGAAAAAGCCUCCAAUAUCGUCAAAAAACCACUAAAUUUGGUGCCAAAUUCACUUUUUAGAGUCAAAAUAGUCCAAAAACUACCAAACUUACUAGGGAAUGGUCAGAACUUAUCUCGCGAUCGGGAGAUACAAAUGGGUCCACGGAAAAGAAGAAGGUUGUUCCCUGAUUCCAGAACAAUUUUCAAAUUUUGCUAAACGGCCCGGAGAGCCGAGAUAUUUGUGCUCAAAAAUCAAGCUAUAAACCAUGUAAAUCUCUCGCUUUUGGCUAUUUGAUUUGCUGCUUCCCCUCCCUAUUUUCCUCCCUCGAACACCUCAUUCUUAUCCGCCACCGAUGGCAACUACCAAAUGUUGGGGAGAGGCCGAGUGGUGUGUGCUCAUUGCUAGAAAGGUGAAAUUGCGGGACCGAACCGAGACUCCCAACAAGGAAAGCAUUUGCCAGAGAAUGUCUUCAUUAAUGAAGAACGAAAGUCGAGGUUCGAAGGCGAUUACAUACCGCCCUAGUUGUGACCGUAAACGAUGCCAUCUCGCGAUUCGGAGGGUUUAUGC
Molecule: non-coding RNA, 560 nt
Filed under: Caenorhabditis briggsae
Lineage: Eukaryota; Metazoa; Nematoda; Chromadorea; Rhabditida; Rhabditidae
Description: Eukaryotic small subunit ribosomal RNA
Rfam family: Eukaryotic small subunit ribosomal RNA
Source: Rfam by way of RNAcentral